UACCUAAAAUUAGAGGCCCGGUGCACGGAUUCAUGCACCGGUGGGGUCCCUCGGCCUGGCCUGUGGGGAUCAGGCCAAAACUGGCUCUCUGACAUCCCCCAAGGGAUCCUGGAUUGGAAGAGGGUAGUUCUCAGGUGACACACCCCAGAAAUGGGCUCCCUCCUCUCUGGUUCUGGGUGCAUCACCCAAGAACCACAGCUGCCAAGUCACCAUAGCUCAGCAGCUCCUGCAUUGAGCUGUUUGCCCCCAUUGGUCAUUGGGCAUCAUAGCUACCAGCCAGUCGGCCGGUCGUGCGGGCUUUUGUAUAUAUAGAUGUUGAAUCGUCAUCUUAUGUGCUCUAAGGUAACUUACUGUUUAAAAAAAAACACCUAGUAAAGUUUAUGAUGCCAAAAAUGACCAAUUUUGCAAAUCCACAUUUGCAGACAUUUCAUUUCAUCUCUAGUUGCCAACGUUUCAUUAAGGUGGGCCAGUUAAGGUCUAUUCCAAAACGUUAGAACAUCAUGUUCCUUCUCAUUAAUGUGAACUUAUUUAAGAAAUUAUUUUGCGUGAGACAGAGUAUUUUGUCUUUGUCAGUGUUAGAAUCCACUACUGGGGGAAAAGUCCCCCCCC
Long non-coding RNA from Myotis daubentonii (Daubenton's bat), 609 nucleotides. RefSeq lists it as uncharacterized. NCBI's taxonomy places the organism in Eukaryota, Metazoa, Chordata, Mammalia, Chiroptera, Vespertilionidae. The record is from RefSeq and is a predicted model, not a curated record. The transcript is spliced from 2 exons.